Molecule: ribosomal RNA, 1701 nt
Filed under: Nyctotherus ovalis
Lineage: Eukaryota; Ciliophora; Armophorea; Clevelandellida; Nyctotheridae
Description: partial small subunit ribosomal RNA
Rfam family: Bacterial small subunit ribosomal RNA
Source: RNAcentral
UCGUUUUAGUUGGAGAACGUAAUUCACUAGCUAUUGAGUAUGACUAUAGCUCUGAGUGAAUGCGUGCUGGCGAUCUAAUACAUGCCAGUCGACAGCCUUACAUUAUAGUAAGUCUGUGGCGUAGUUGUGAGCAAGAGCGGAGGUGUUAAGCCUAGGGUUUGACAUAAAGAGGACCUAUACUUUUCCGAAAAUAUUGUUCUGGAAUAAAAUGUCAAAUACUGUUCGAGCGACUAUUCGAUUAUGUGGGGCCUUUAUGGUCGAUUAGAUAGUCUCUCGUGGCAAAAAGAAAGUUUGCCCGGGUCGCAUCUCCGUGCGGUCUGGUUAUGAUACGUAGAUAGUAUUAGCCAAUAACCGUAGGUGAACUGAGAGGUUCUACACCCACAUCGUUAAUGAGAAAAACGAUCGGGGCAUAUUCCCCGACUGCAGUAGUGAAUCUUGACCAAUGGGCUGUUGCCUAAGUUUGUCGUCGGCGGGUGAAGCUAUCAGCUUCAUAGGUCUAUUGAGAAAUAUAAUGAGCUAAUCUCGACAGAGAAUGAGUGACUAACAACGUGCCAGCAGUUGCGGCAAGACGUUGAACUCGAAGCGUUACUGGUCCUGAUUGGGCGUAAAGUAUAGCUAGGCGGCUAACGUAGUUAUGGUUUAUAAACGGGCGGUUAGAACGUGCACUCCAUAAAACCGUUAUGCUUGGGAUAUAUCGUAGGUCUUUCGGUACGCGCACCUUAGCGAUAAAAUGCGGAAAGGGUGCUAUGGACAUUCCAGUGGCCACGGCGGGGCUCAGAUAUAUCCGACGCUGAACUAUUAAAGUGUGGGGGCCAAAAAGGAUUAGGGACCCUUGUAGCCCACACCCUGAAUUCAUGAACAUUGAUCGGUAUUUAAUGGUACUGAUUCAGCUUACGCGUAAAUGUUUCGCCUGGGGAAUAAUACCGCAAGGUAGAAAGCUAAUGAGAUUGGCGGGAGCUUGUAUAAACAAUGGGGCACGUGGCUCAAUUCGACAAUACACGUAAAAUCUUACCCGUAAGAUGUGAGGUGCGUUACGUAAUCUGUAGUUUCUACGUAGACGCGACAACGCCUAAGUUGCGUCUGGUUAUGUAAUCGCGACUAUAGACAGAACACGAUAAAUAUGUGCUGGCUGCGUAAACGACCUCUGGGUGCUGCAUGGCUGUCGUAAAUUCAUGCCGUGGGGUGUGGUUUUUGGUAACUGAAUGAAUGCGACCUAUGGACUGCUUAGCGCGUUUUGCUGGGUCUUGGUUAAGACUCGAUUUCGCGGUUGGGUAGUCUUCGGGACCAACCGUAAGUCUAUAUCGUUGCGGAGGUCCCAAGGUCUAGGACACGUCAAGUCAACAUGGUCUUAAUAUGCGGGGCUGCACAUGUGCCACAAGGGCAAAGACAAAAUGAUGCUAAGGUGCGAGCCAAAGCAAUCUUCUAAAAAUUGUCACAGUUCAGAUUGUACGUUGCAAAUCAUGUACAUUAAGUAGUAAUUGUUAGUAAUCGUACCUGGGUAAAGUGCCACGGUGAAUGUUAUUCGAGCUUUGCACACACCGCCCAUCACGCUAGGGGAGAGACCGGUGCUGGAAGAAUUAUCUUACAGUUUGCGGACUGGGGGUUUUUAAAAGGAAACGGUUUCAACCAGAGCUAAGUUGACACAAGGUAGCGGUAGUAGAAACUGCUGCUGGAGUAGCUAUCAAAGUGGGAUAAUGUACC